This 74-nucleotide transfer RNA is filed under the name Planctomycetaceae bacterium. Its description in RNAcentral is "tRNA-Arg". It matches the Rfam family "tRNA". Rfam says of the family: Transfer RNA (tRNA) molecules are approximately 80 nucleotides in length. Their secondary structure includes four short double-helical elements and three loops (D, anti-codon, and T loops). The record is from RNAcentral. Lineage: Bacteria; Pseudomonadati; Planctomycetota; Planctomycetia; Planctomycetales; Planctomycetaceae.
GCCCCCGUAGCUCAGUUGGAUAGAGCACAGCUUUCCUAAAGCUGGGGUCGCAGGUUCGAAUCCUGCCGGGGGUA